This is a long non-coding RNA of Oreochromis aureus, 1215 nucleotides long. NCBI's taxonomy places the organism in Eukaryota, Metazoa, Chordata, Actinopteri, Cichliformes, Cichlidae. The record is from Ensembl.
AAAAAGUAACAUACAGUGUAAGAAAUAACAAUGCAAGGCUGUUUUACUGGUAUUUAUGGGACUGUUUUAAUAUUCACAUUUUGUUCGAUGAAGAGCACUGACUAUAAGAAAUUACUGUCUACAGGAAGCAUGCCAGAGGAAUUGUAACCUUUUUCCCUUACCUCAGUGGCCCGUACUCCAAAAAUGAACAUUAUUAUGAUGGCGAGAAUGGCACUGGGUACUUGGCCUGGAGGAUUAAAGCCAUACAGAGAUGCACCGCUAAAGGGAGGCGAUUAUCAUCUGGAGCACCAGGAGAUGGAUCAUCGAGUGAAGACCAGUGUGGUGGACCAACUGUCAGGACGAGAGUUGCAGUUUGUUACAGAGAAGGUGCUGAGUGAGGAUGAGUGCAAGGAUACAAUCGCUCUGAUGAAACAUUCAGCUGAUGAAGACAGUCAAGAAGAAGAUGAAGUUGACAUUUGUUUAUCGACACAGCAUGGUCCUUGACCUCCUGCUGUCAAGCAACAUACUGUCUGUUUUUCCACGUUUCAAAGAUAUCAAAGGCUUGAUCGAACAGGAUUUUGUACUGAUGUUUGGUGAGGAUGUAUCAGGCAGGUUGCUGGAGAGGUGGCCAACAACAUUCAAAAGAAAGAUUAUCCAACAAGGCAGAAAGCUUCCUUCUACCAGUGACCUGAAAGAACUCUUGCUGGCAGCUGACUCACCUGAGGAUGCCACUGAAGUUAGUGCUGACAUUGGCUGGGACAGUGGGACAGGUGGGACAAUAGCAAUUCUAUUGCUAUUACAUCUGAUUCCACCAUCUGGUCAGGGUCGGAAGAGACCAGGAAAGGUGUCAGCUUCUCAAGCAGAAAGGCAUCUUGUGGUCUUCAAGAAGACUGGAACAAAUAUCCAAGAGCACCUUGAUGCCAUCACUACCAGCACUCAACCCUACCUCCUGGCUGUUGGGGUGAAAAAGAAUGACAUCCACUGGUUCUUCAUUAUUCUUGACAAGAAUGCCAUGCCAUGCAAGUCUACCUCUUCACUUGGUUCUUUUGAUGAACUGUUUAAAGCACAUUUUGUGUUUGGCACAUCUUACAACACUAUGCUUCACAACAUGUACACGUUCAUCCAAACCACAGGUUUUAGAAAACAUUUAAAUACCAAACACCUUAACUAUUUUGACCAACAGGCUGACACUGAUGUUAAUCUACAGCCUGAUGUGGCAGUUAAAGAAGUUAGCAC